UCAACAUCUCUCUUCUUCCUUCUUUUUCUUUUUACGCAGACUCCAUUUCUCUCUGUUCUCUCACCUGCGUCUCUCACUUUCCCUCUCCCUCUCGCCCGGCGACGUCGCCAGUCCUCGCCGCCUCCGGCGCGGCGAGGCCGGCGUCUCUCUCCCCUUCUUCUUCCUUUCCUUCCCUUUUCCCCAAUUCUUAAUUCAAAAUCAACCUAGGGUUUCUAAUUUUCCCCCCUUCAACUCCAGUCAACCGGCGAGUUUCACUGCCACCGUUGUCCCCGUCGCACUGCCACCUACUCCAUCUCAGGUAAGCUUCUCUUUCUCCCUCUUUUUCUCUCUGUCUCUCGAUCUCUCUCUCUGCCUUCUCUGCGCUCUUAUCUCGAUCUCUCUCUCUGCCCCUUUGCUUGCAGCGGCCGCUGCGAGCCGCAGCGGCGCAUGCAGCGCCGGCGGUCGCCGCCGCUCUGCUCUUCUCUCCCUGCCUCUAUCUCGCUCUACUUUCUCUCAUGUCCGUGUCUCUCUGUUUUUGUCUUACUCUCUCUCGCUCAAACUCUCUGUGCUACUGGCGGCCACCGCGGACCGCCGUGGCGUGGGCAGUGCCGGCGGUCGCUGCCGCCAGUCGCGCCUCCGUCGCGGUGGCUCGCGGUUGCUGCUGCUGCUGCCAUCCUUUCCC
This 661-nucleotide long non-coding RNA is filed under the name Salvia miltiorrhiza (redroot sage). RNAcentral's name for it is "long non-coding RNA (SMIL_LNC010958)". Lineage: Eukaryota; Viridiplantae; Streptophyta; Magnoliopsida; Lamiales; Lamiaceae. The record is from RNAcentral.